Labeo rohita (rohu) is the source of this 419-nucleotide long non-coding RNA. RefSeq lists it as uncharacterized. Lineage: Eukaryota; Metazoa; Chordata; Actinopteri; Cypriniformes; Cyprinidae. The transcript has 3 exons. The record is from RefSeq and is a predicted model, not a curated record.
UGGUAUCGACUGGGAGAAUCUCCUCUCCACCGCACGCUACACGAUGAUUAUAGAGAAGAGAAGAAAUACGCCCGAAUCAACGCUGCAAACGAGCGAUUAAGCGACGCGGCUACUACCAUGAGUACACAAAGCCAUGUGCGAUUAAUGUGUCUACUAGAGGCCUGCAACUCACGGAUUCGCGGAUUUGAUGGAAGAAGAGGAGUCAGCCGCUGCUGUCUUGUGCUGUUUGAACUCUCAAUCUGGCGGCACCCAUUCACUGCAGAGGAUCCAUUGGAGGACAAGUGAUAAAAUGCUAAAUUUCUACAAAUCUGUUGUAUUGAAGAGACAAGCUCAUCUACAAUCUGGACAGCUUGCAAGAGAGCGGAAGAAUAUGCCCUGAUAUGGAUCACCUCAGAUUUAAUAUCUAUGGCGAUUGUCAU